This 497-nucleotide ribosomal RNA is filed under the name uncultured bacterium. RNAcentral's name for it is "partial 16S ribosomal RNA". It matches the Rfam family "Bacterial small subunit ribosomal RNA", at positions 28 to 507 of the family's 1533-position model. The record is from RNAcentral.
GAUGAACGCUGGCGGCAUGCCUAAUACAUGCAAGUCGAGCGAACAGACGAGGAGCUUGCUCCUCUGACGUUAGCGGCGGACGGGUGAGUAACACGUGGAUAACCUACCUAUAAGACUGGGAUAACUUCGGGAAACCGGAGCUAAUACCGGAUAAUAUAUUGAACCGCAUGGUUCAAUAGUGAAAGACGGUUUUGCUGUCACUUAUAGAUGGAUCCGCGCCGCAUUAGCUAGUUGGUAAGGUAACGGCUUACCAAGGCAACGAUGCGUAGCCGACCUGAGAGGGUGAUCGGCCACACUGGAACUGAGACACGCUCCAGACUCCUACGGGAGGCAGCAGUAGGGAAUCUUCCGCAAUGGGCGAAAGCCUGACGGAGCAACGCCGCGUGAGUGAUGAAGGUCUUCGGAUCGUAAAACUCUGUUAUUAGUGAAGAACAAAUGUGUAAGUAACUAUGCACAUCUUGACGGUACCUAAUCAGAAAGCCACGGCUAACUACGUG